Molecule: long non-coding RNA, 366 nt
Filed under: Heterocephalus glaber (naked mole-rat)
Lineage: Eukaryota; Metazoa; Chordata; Mammalia; Rodentia; Bathyergidae
Description: lncRNA (ENSHGLG00100041897.1)
Source: RNAcentral
UGUAGGCAGAGUGCGCCCCGGGACCCCGCCGCGUCCCUUCCGGGUGCCCCGCUCUUCUGGUUCCUCUGCUGCUGCCUGGCGCCGUUUUGCAGCCUCCUGGCCCUCGCUGGUCCCUGCUCCGGACUUGGGCGCUCGGCUCCCGAGCCUCGGUGCGGACCGGGAGCUGAGGCCGGGAGCUGAGCCCUGCGGCCGGCGGCCUAGCGGCAUCCUCGCCUGGCGUGGGUGGGAGCGUCUCCGAUCCUGCUUCUCAUUACCUGUGGGUGGUAACUGGAGACUGCUUCGUGAGUCCGUGCCUGGAGUCUCCAAAUUCUAGCACGGAUCCCAAAGCAGGAGAGGCCCAAACCGGAUCCUCAGCGAGCCUUCACC